This is a long non-coding RNA of Thalassophryne amazonica, 280 nucleotides long. RefSeq lists it as uncharacterized. Lineage: Eukaryota; Metazoa; Chordata; Actinopteri; Batrachoidiformes; Batrachoididae. The record is from RefSeq and is a predicted model, not a curated record. The transcript has 3 exons.
AUGCAAGGCUCUAAAAGUCAAAACCAAAAUUUUAAAAUCGAUAUGAAAUUUGAUAGGAAGCCAGUGCAGGGAGGAUAUAAUGUGUGAAAUGUGAGUCCGGCUGCUAGAUCUUGUUAAAAGUCUCGCUGCAGCAUUUUGGACCAUUUGAACACGAUUUAAGGCAGAUUUGUUAAAACAAGUAAAAAGCGAGUUGCAAUAAUCUAAACGAGAAGAAAUAAAAGCAUGAAUCACAACUUCCAGAUUAGAGUUAGAUAGAACUGGCCAAAAACUUGUUUCUUAA